Molecule: long non-coding RNA, 529 nt
Organism: Oncorhynchus tshawytscha (Chinook salmon)
Lineage: Eukaryota; Metazoa; Chordata; Actinopteri; Salmoniformes; Salmonidae
Source: Ensembl
GCUCAGAUUACAAGUGUGGGCUCAUCAAAGCACUGAGGUUAACCAAGAGGGUUAAUAUAAAAGUCCCAGGUGGGUAACUGGCCACCAUGCAGGUGGAUGGGAGCUGAGACACCCAACCUGGCUGGAUACCAUAGCAACAUAACCACCUCGUCUGGUCCUUAUUCAUCUGGUUCCACAGAUGGACUGUUUGAACCCAGGGGUUAUGACUGCAUUGAAUGAGAAGCUGGCCAUGUCCAUAUCUAGAUGCUUUGAAUGUUCAUGGUGAAUGUUGAAAAGCUGCUUGAUGCAUGUUCGACAAUGGUAGCAGAGGAGGAGAAGGAGAUAUUGGCGGGUCGGAGACGGUUGACAUCAUGUCGGACGAGAUCGUUGAGGGGAUCGUUGGGUGGUGAGACCUCCUAGGUUCCGCAGCGAGGAGCUCACUACUUUGUGUAAGGUGCUGCAAGGAAGUCUGGAGGCUGACCACAGGUUUCAGGCUACACACUCCAGAUGUCACACCAUAGGGGUGGCAGGGUAGCCUAGUGGUUAGAGU